This 240-nucleotide ribosomal RNA is filed under the name uncultured bacterium. RNAcentral describes it as "partial 16S ribosomal RNA". It matches the Rfam family "Bacterial small subunit ribosomal RNA", at positions 28 to 258 of the family's 1533-position model. The record is from RNAcentral.
GACGAACGCUGGCGGCGUGCUUAACACAUGCAAGUCGAGCGGUAAGGCCCUUUCGGGGUACGACGAGCGGCGAACGGGUAGAGUAACACGUGGGUGGACCUCGCCCUCCAGCUCUGGGAGUAAGCCCGGGAAACCGUAGGGUCGUAAUACCGGAUAUGACUUCAUGACGCAUGUUGUGGAGUGGAAAGACCUUGUGCGGCUGAGGAUGGGCCCGGCGGCCUAUCAGCUUGUUGGUGGGGU